RNAcentral lists this long non-coding RNA (1204 nucleotides) under Coturnix japonica (Japanese quail). Its description in RNAcentral is "lncRNA (ENSCJPG00005012399.1)". The record is from RNAcentral. Lineage: Eukaryota; Metazoa; Chordata; Aves; Galliformes; Phasianidae.
CCGCUGGGACUGUGCUUCGGUUCUUUUCUUUUCUUUCUUUCUUUCUUUCUUUCGGUUUUUUUUUUUCCUUUUUUUUUUUUUUUUUUUUUUUUCCCUUUCUUUCUUUUAAUUUAUUGAAAGAAAUCAGAGCUCGCCGCCGCAGUUAUUUUUCCACUACCAAAAGAAACGCAAAAACGAAACAAACGGCGCCGAGCUGUUCCCCCCCCCCCCGCGCCCGCAGCGCUCCCCGCGGCCCCCACGGACGUUUGUACGGACCCCUCUGUAUAUUUAAUGUAGCUUUUGUAUUUAAAUUGAUAAUACGGUAUCUUUGAAGUAAAUUAUGAAAUCGAGACACCUGUACAGGCAUUAAUGUUGUUUUCGUAAUAUAAAUAUAUACAUUUCUGUGUCUUUUUCCGAAUUGUUUCAUAGUUUUAAAAAAUAUAUAUAUACAAGUUUAAUUUAAUUUUUUAUGGCUAGUGGUUUUUUUCCCCCCGUUGGGAGUGCGCUAAACUAGAACGAAAAGAGGGGAAAAAAAGGGCAAAGAGGAACGGGUCCCACUUGUGGGGUACGGAGCUCGUCGGGAAAGGGGCGGGCGGCAGAACGCAGCCCCGCUCCUGCAGCCGCAGCCCCGCUCUGUUCCCGCAGCGGUUGCGGGGCCGAUCCCGCACGUAACCUCAUUACCCGCAAUCAGUGCCGCGUUUCACGCGAAGCGAUCCGCUGCUCAACUUCGCUAAUGAGUUCGAUUUUCUGCCAGAUUUCCCCUCGCUGCCGGUGCCCGGGGCCGCGGCCGGGGGGGGGGGGGGGGCACGGGGGGGGGGUGAGGGGGAGCAGCGCUCGGGGCCCCCUCCCGGGCCCGCGGUGCUUGCGGGCGGCGGCAGAAAAAGAGCGUUAAUCUGCCCCAUCUCGGGGCCCGAGGAUCGGAGCGGAGGAGACAUUCACUGCAAGCACGUAGGGGAAUAAGGGUCUCGCUUUAUUGAAUCAUCAAAUCCCAGGAACGAAGCUCUUAAUUAAUUAUGGGUGCUAAAAAUUCAGGCCAGCUGCUUCUUUUUACUCGCCUCUGACAGAGAAAGACAAAGUCUGCGGCGAGCUCCUCCGAGGCGCUCCGCAUAAAUCAGCGCUCCCGGCCCGCGGGGACAGAUGGCGCCUCGGCCCCGCGCCGCCCGCAUUCCUCCACCGCACCGCGGCGGUGCGGGAGCGACGGCCCGGCCCGGCCCUGUCCGACGGC